Cygnus olor (mute swan) is the source of this 912-nucleotide long non-coding RNA. RefSeq lists it as uncharacterized. The transcript is spliced from 4 exons. Lineage: Eukaryota; Metazoa; Chordata; Aves; Anseriformes; Anatidae. The record is from RefSeq and is a predicted model, not a curated record.
CUGACUUGGAGAACUUAGCUCGUGCCUUACGCAGUGCUUUGAGCUAUCUGAAUUAGGCACCUACAUCAGAUGCUGGAAGGCGAAGGUAGUCAGAUGGCCCAGGAAAAAGUGACUAAUGCCAGCUGUGAGAAACUCUGCGAGGCAGAGCAGCCUUUUGGCCUGAACCAAACAGCUCCAUGCUACCAGGAGGAGGAGCUGUCCCAGGAGCUCAGCUCCUUCAUUUUGGGAAGAUGCCCCCCUGUAGGUGCUGUGAAGGAGCCAGGGGAGGCAAAGGAAGGCACCAGGUUAUCGGACUUGGAGAAGGGAGAGCCUGAAGGAAGAGUCUUUCAGGAGUUUUCCUAGGCAGAACAGCUGCUCCUUCUCCUCUCUUUCUCCUUCUGCCCAUGGGCCACGUCCAGGUUUGAUUUCUUCACGCCCACUUGCCAUGUUCAGCUGGAUCAAGAGUCAAAACGGGCUGCAGAUGGAGAACUCCCCAGCAGGAGUCACAGACGAUAGCAUUGGCAAUUCCAGAUCUUUGGUGGCUCUCAGUCAUCUGUCAAGUGUUAAGGUUCUGCUGAAUCCAUCAGAAAUAAAGAAUUGGGUGUUAGAGGCAAGGGGCAACCUGGAUGUAUAAAGGAAGCCGAACUGCUGUUCUCAAAAUCCCUUAUCCUCCACAUUGCCUGCGAGAUCUGGCAUUUGCUGAAGAGCCAAGGAGAUGAGCAAGCUGCUAAGAAUGGAGCAACUCUUAAAGGGGUAUUUAUUCGUGGCUAAGGAGCAGAUAUUCACAUAACUGCAGGAAGACAGGGACUGAUGUUAAGAAAAUGCUGCAGCUGUGUUAAACUCAGGCAUGUGGACCCUGUGUCUAGCACUAAUCAACAUAGUCACCCAGUUACAUGAAUUGACCCUGGAGUAUUUUUGUGCAAACAAAUUACU